GACAGAGGUGCCGAGCGUUAGGCGGAAUCACUGGGCUUAAAGCGUGUGUAGGCGGGUCCGUAAGUACCUUGUGAAAUCCCACGGCUCAACCGUGGAACUGCUCGGUAUACUGCGGGCCUUGAGCCAGCUAGGGGCAACCGGAACAAACGGUGGAGCGGUGAAAUGCGUAGAUAUGCGGAGGAACACCGAUGGCGAAGGCAAUCCCCUGGGCCUGCACUGACGCUCAUGCACGAAAGCGUGGGGAGCAAACAGG
Molecule: ribosomal RNA, 253 nt
Filed under: uncultured bacterium
Lineage: Bacteria
Description: partial 16S ribosomal RNA
Rfam family: Bacterial small subunit ribosomal RNA
Source: RNAcentral